UACGAAGGGGCGUAGCGUUGUUCGGAAUUACUGGGCGUAAAGCGCGUGUAGGCGGGUCUUUUAAGUCAGGGGUGAAAUGCCAGGGCUCAACCUUGGAACUGCCUUUGAUACUGGAGACCUUGAGUCCGGGAGAGGUGAGUGGAAUUGCGAGUGUAGAGGUGAAAUUCGUAGAUAUUCGCAAGAACACCAGUGGCGAAGGCGGCUCACUGGCCCGGUACUGACGCUGAGGUGCGAAAGCGUGGGGAGCAAACAGG
This 254-nucleotide ribosomal RNA is filed under the name uncultured bacterium. Its description in RNAcentral is "partial 16S ribosomal RNA". It matches the Rfam family "Bacterial small subunit ribosomal RNA", at positions 524 to 776 of the family's 1533-position model. The record is from RNAcentral.